ACCGCGCGAAAUACAAAUUUUGUUUCAGUUUCAGUGAUUUAAUUCUCAAAAACGAGUCUGUUAAAGUCCGCGCUGUGUAUCUGCUUAAAGAUAAAGUUCCUGCCACAUGUGUUAUUGAGUCAGAACUUAUUAAAGGACAAGAAUCUGACGACGGAAAAUCUCAUCAACGGCUAAACUGUUACCUGGAAAGUGAGAAAUGGAUAAAAAGACGUUGGUGAAGCGGCGCCCUGCUAAACCCUGAAGUUCGAUGGAAAAUGACCACGUCAAGGAGGGCUGCUGAGGUUGAGAGAGUCUCAGUGUCCGACAGAGAAGACCCGGGACUAUGAUGUAAAAGAGAAAAUUACAAGGAGGCCUGGAUCUCGGAAACUUAAAUAACUAGUGAAUCAGACGGGCCAUGCCAAUCCAUCUUAAGGCAGUCUGAGCUAUUAAAAUAAUGAAAUUAAAAAGUGAAUCAGACGGGCCAUGCCAAUCCAUCUUAAGGCAGUCUGAGCUAUUAAAAUAAUGAAAUUAAAAAGAGAGAAGAUCUGUCUGCGUCAGUGCUUUAGUGCAGAUGAAGGUGGCCGAACAGAUUUUCCCCAUGAAGGAGGUCCAGAAAGUGUACUUCACCAGCAAAUUCAACAAUGUGGACAAGCUAGGAAAACAAGAGGUGUAAUUCAUGUCACAAUUCACACCCCCACACACACUCAGACAUAGGACACAUCCAAGCACCCAAUACUGCCAUAAUUAAAUGCAUAAGGAAUGCUUAUGAAUUAGAUUUUUCAUUAUGUAUGUAUAGAGUUUAUAUAUACUGUAGAUUUAUACCACAAUACAUUAUUCAGUUAUAUAAUUGUAUAUAUUACUGUAUAAUAAAAUUAUAUUAUUGUAUAAUUACCAUCGUAAAAUAAAUUAUUAAGUGUAAUAUAAUUAUGUUAUUAUAUAACAAAUACAAUCUAUUACCAUUAUUUUUUAUAUUACUAUUAUUUUAAUGCAUUUAACAUUACAUUAUAGAAUGCCAAGUUGGUACAUGUGUUAUCAGUUUACCAUUUAGAAGGAAUUCUUACCAGUUGUUUUUGUGCGUGUUUGAAAUUAUACCGUUGCUGAAUAAAUGGAGU
This is a long non-coding RNA of Trichomycterus rosablanca, 1091 nucleotides long. RefSeq lists it as uncharacterized. The record is from RefSeq and is a predicted model, not a curated record. Lineage: Eukaryota; Metazoa; Chordata; Actinopteri; Siluriformes; Trichomycteridae. The transcript has 5 exons.